Molecule: unclassified non-coding RNA, 24 nt
Filed under: Mus musculus (house mouse)
Lineage: Eukaryota; Metazoa; Chordata; Mammalia; Rodentia; Muridae
Description: oocyte_clustered_small_RNA7870
Source: RNAcentral
CUUUACAAGCAUCAUUGCUACAGC